AACGAACGCUGGCGGCAGGCCUAACACAUGCAAGUCGAACGCACCGCAAGGUGAGUGGCGCACGGGUGAGUAACACGUGGGAAUGUACCCUUUGGUUCGGAAUAACGUUUGGAAACGAACGCUAAUACCGGAUGAGCCCUGUGGGGGAAAGAUUUAUCGCCAAAGGAGCAGCCCGCGUCUGAUUAGCUAGUUGGUGGGGUAAAGGCCUACCAAGGCGACGAUCAGUAGCUGGUCUGAGAGGAUGAUCAGCCACACUGGGACUGAGACACGGCCCAGACUCCUACGGGAGGCAGCAGUGGGGAA
RNAcentral lists this ribosomal RNA (303 nucleotides) under uncultured bacterium. Its description in RNAcentral is "bacterial SSU rRNA". It matches the Rfam family "Bacterial small subunit ribosomal RNA", at positions 29 to 361 of the family's 1533-position model. The record is from RNAcentral.